Molecule: ribosomal RNA, 250 nt
Filed under: uncultured bacterium
Lineage: Bacteria
Description: partial 16S ribosomal RNA
Rfam family: Bacterial small subunit ribosomal RNA
Source: RNAcentral
UCGGGAAUAUUGGGCAAUGGGCGCAAGCCUGACCCAGCGACGCCGCGUGAGGGAUGAAGGCCUUCGGGUCGUAAACCUCUGUCGGGAGGGAAGAAUGGCGAUGAGACGAAUAGCCUCGUUGUCUGACGGUACCUCCAAAGGAAGCGCCGGCUAACUCCGUGCCAGCAGCCGCGGUAAUACGGAGGGCGCAAGCGUUGUUCGGAAUCACUGGGCGUAAAGCGCGUGUAGGCGGCCGGGCAAGUCGGAUGUG